Molecule: long non-coding RNA, 672 nt
Organism: Planococcus citri (citrus mealybug)
Lineage: Eukaryota; Metazoa; Arthropoda; Insecta; Hemiptera; Pseudococcidae
Exons: 3
Source: RefSeq, a predicted model, not a curated record
GCUGGUCGGUUUUAUUGUCUAUGAUGCGGAUUCUCGGAUCUUGCCAGUAAACUUGGAGAAACACGUCCAACGAUAUUUCCUAUAUUAUCCAUCCUAACAGUUAAUGUAUAAUGUCAAAUAGUAGUAUGAUUACAAUGUUUUUGCUGAGAUUGGCCGAAUUUUAAGAAGACUAUGAUUCGUAAAAUUUUAUUGCAUGAGAAGCAGUCUCUUGAUAAUGGAUGAUUCAUUACUAAUAUCUACCUCUCAAAAUGUGUUCGUACUGUUCAUAUAACUUUCAGAAACUGUUUCGAUGACUUCUGAGUGCCAAAAUAUCACCAUUUACUGUACGGUUGUGCGUUCCUGACUAUGAUGAUGGAAAAAAUAUUCGGUGAGUGAAUAGCAUUAGGUACUUAUUUAUAUUUGUCAAAUAAAGAAAUUGCUCAUAUUUCGAAGAAAUGUGGAAUUCGUGAAUUUGUUAGUUGAGAAAAAAAUUGUCAAAAAGUGUUGUUUGUUUUCAAAAAUUGCUAAAAAUUGUCUUUUUAUUGCAAAAAAGUUCAAAAAAAUAGUUAGCUAUCUCACUUUUUUCCCAAAAAUUGCACUGAAAUCUGCUUUGUUACCAAAAAUUUCCAAAUUGUCAGUCUCACUUUUUGUCAGAAUUUUCCAAAAAAAAAAAAAAAAAAAAAAUGCAAAUAA